Molecule: ribosomal RNA, 385 nt
Filed under: uncultured bacterium
Lineage: Bacteria
Description: bacterial SSU rRNA
Rfam family: Bacterial small subunit ribosomal RNA
Source: RNAcentral
GACGAACGCUGGCGGCGUGCUUAACACAUGCAAGUCGAACGGUGAAGCCUUUCGGGGUGGAUCAGUGGCGAACGGGUGAGUAACACGUGAGCAACCUGCCCCAGACUCUGGGAUAACUCCGGGAAACCGGUGCUAAUACCGGAUAUGUGACGCUUGGGCAUCUGAUGCGUCUGGAAAGAUUUUUUGGUCUGGGAUGGGCUCGCGGCCUAUCAGCUUGUUGGUGGGGUAAUGGCCUACCAAGGCGACGACGGGUAGCCGGCCUGAGAGGGCGACCGGCCACACUGGGACUGAGACACGGCCCAGACUCCUACGGGAGGCAGCAGUGGGGAAUAUUGCGCAAUGGGCGAAAGCCUGACGCAGCGACGCCGCGUGAGGGAUGAAGGCC